Molecule: ribosomal RNA, 529 nt
Filed under: uncultured bacterium
Lineage: Bacteria
Description: bacterial SSU rRNA
Rfam family: Bacterial small subunit ribosomal RNA
Source: RNAcentral
GACGAACGCUGGCGGCGUGCCUAAUACAUGCAAGUCGAACGAGAAAUUCUUACACCGGAUGCUUGCAUCCACCGUAAGAUUUCGAGUGGCGGACGGGUGAGUAACACGUGGGUAACCUGCCCAAAAGAAGGGGAUAACAUUUGGAAACAAGUGCUAAUACCGUAUAACCAUGAUGACCGCAUGGUCAUGAUGUAAAAGGUGGUUUUGCUAUCGCUUUUGGAUGGACCCGCGGCGUAUUAACUAGUUGGUAAGGUAACGGCUUACCAAGGUGAUGAUACGUAGCCGAACUGAGAGGUUGAUCGGCCACAAUGGGACUGAGACACGGCCCAUACUCCUACGGGAGGCAGCAGUAGGGAAUCUUCCACAAUGGGCGCAAGCCUGAUGGAGCAACGCCGCGUGAAUGAAGAAGGUCUUCGGAUCGUAAAGUUCUGUUAUUAGAGAAGAACACGUGUAAGAGUAACUGAUUAUGCGUUGACGGUAUCUAAUCAGCAAGUCACGGCUAACUACGUGCCAGCCGCCGCCGUAACAC